RNAcentral lists this ribosomal RNA (750 nucleotides) under uncultured bacterium. RNAcentral describes it as "bacterial SSU rRNA". It matches the Rfam family "Bacterial small subunit ribosomal RNA", at positions 77 to 861 of the family's 1533-position model. The record is from RNAcentral.
GAGCAAUCCUAAGUAAAGUGGCGCACGGGUGAGUAACACGUGGAUUAUCUACCUUUUAGUGGGGAAUACCUCUGGGAAACCGGAGACAAUACCGCAUAAGCCCGCAAGGGGAAAGCAGCAAUGCGCUGAAAGAGGAGUCCGCGGCCGAUUAGCUAGUUGGCGGGGUAAUGGCCCACCAAGGCGAAGAUCGGUAGCCGGCCUGAGAGGGCACACGGCCACACUGGCACUGAAACACGGGCCAGACUCCUACGGGAGGCAGCAGUGGGGAAUCUUGCACAAUGGGCGAAAGCCUGAUGCAGCGACGCCGCGUGAGCGAUGAAGCCCUUCGGGGUGUAAAGCUCUUUCGACGGGAACGAUAAUGACGGUACCCGGAGAAGAAGCUGCGGCUAACUACGUGCCAGCAGCCGCGGUAAUACGUAGGCAGCGAGCGUUGUUCGGAAUUACUGGGCGUAAAGAGUGUGUAGGCGGUGUUCCCAGUCUGUUGUGAAAUCUCCCGGCUUAACUGGGAGGGUGCAGCGGAAACUAGAAUGCUAGAGGGUGGGAGAGGUAAGCGGAAUUCCUGGUGUAGCGGUGAAAUGCGUAGAUAUCAGGAGGAACACCUGUGGUGUAGACAGCUUACUGGACCACUUCUGACGCUGAGACACGAAAGCGUGGGUAGCAAACAGGAUUAGAUACCCUGGUAGUCCACGCCCUAAACGAUGCAUACUUGGUGUGAGCGAUUCAUUUCGUUCGUGCCGGAGCUAACGCGUU